UGACCCCAUUCCCCGUCUAUCCUGCCCCGUUCCUACUCAGAGCUAUGCUCGCCGUUCCCCUCGCCGCGCCAUCUCUCUCCCCCAGCCAGUAUCCUGCCCUGUGUCUGCACAACCUCCGUUCCAUCUGGCCGGUACGCCGUACCCCUCGGCGGUUGUGCAACGACGGCCGCACAACCUGGCAGCCGACAAUCUCACAAACUCAAGGUCGUGCUCAUCUUCACCAUGACCAUGGACUGCGGUCCACCUCAUCGGACCUCUGCUCCACAUGCAACCCUGGACUGCGGUCCACCUCGUCGGAAUGCCAUCUAUGUUCGGGAAUGAAGCCAUCACUAGUGGACUACUACAGGACUCGCCCACCCCAUCCCCAUCUGGCCUAGGGCUAGAGUCAUCUCUCUUGAUGCACGUGGAGCCACAAUAAUGAAGCAGGAGAUAUGCUCAAGGGUACCCCACCUCUGAUCCCUCCAUCCUCCGCGCCACCCAUGCACCCUGCUCCCAGGCCACCUGCACCGGCCCCCACUGCUCGAUGCACACGCCGAAAUCUGGUCGCAAAACAUGCAUCCCCAUUUUGGUCGCAGUCUUAGUUUGUUUCCAUGUCCAAUGUUCUAUGCUUCCACUUAAGAUGAGUCAUAUUGAGAUUUCGUAUUUUUCAUGCUUCCUACAGUUGUUCUUGCCAUGGUCAUCACCAUUCAACAUGCCACGCUUCCAUAUUAUAUUAC
This 716-nucleotide ribosomal RNA is filed under the name Triticum aestivum (bread wheat). RNAcentral describes it as "partial small subunit ribosomal RNA". The record is from RNAcentral. Lineage: Eukaryota; Viridiplantae; Streptophyta; Magnoliopsida; Poales; Poaceae.